ACUCCGCUUGGGACAAAUCUUUAUGAAUGUGCCGGAGCCUGGCCGCUCUGGGCCAGUGUUUUCAUGGAAAUGGGCCAGGGCCCUGCUGAAGUCGCAGAGUGUGAAUGGCCUCCCUCCUCCCCUCCUCUGCCUGAUUUGCAUGACUGAGCUUUCUGCUCUUUCCUCUAAGGUGCUUGUUGAUUAUUGAUCUGUCUCCUAUGGAGAGACAAAUUAUCAGCCCACCAGCAGUGGCCUAAAUUUGGCAGAAGCCCCAGCUGUGUCUGCAGCAAACCAGAGUCAGAGGGUCACACUCAUCCACAGGAAAAUCCCAGAACUCUGAUGGCCCAAGGACGCAAGGAUCCAAGCUGCUCUGGCCCCAGCAGCGUUCUCAAGAGGAAUCUUGGCGAGGAGAACUGGAGGGCCGCUCGGGCGUUGGGAUGACUGGUUACAUGGCCGGUGACAAGCACGCGGAGGAGGCCCCUCAGACCCAGGGGGAGGUGCCUGGUGAUGUCACCCUGGCAAUGUUCUGCACGAAGCUGCUACAGCUGCCCUGAGUUCACACCAGAGUCGCCAUCCCAGGAACAAGGGGACGGCAGGACAGUGCCCAAAGCACGGUUUCCAGGUGAAGCGGGUUUUUCUUUGGGGUUUGAUGGCUGUGGGUAGAAGACCCGGGUAGGAAGGCGGCGAAGGAAAGGAAGGGGACUGUAGCUGGGGAUGUGAAGCACCCACCCCGUAACCUGGGCCCGACCCGCUGGGUCCUCUGGGCCCGUCACUCCCAAAGCUCUGAGAAAUCUCCACGUCUCAGCCUCACUGUGAAGUUACUCAUCUCUGAAAAUCGCCUCCUGCUGGCGAGAUCACCUGCGCCCUGAGCCGCACCAUGCCGCUGAGAUCAGGCAGAGCGCAGCAGGUGUAGUUCAGAAACCUGCGGCCACCUGCAGAGGAGGCGGGGUCCACAGGCAGAUCCCAGGGCCAGGGACACCUCAGGAUCUAUGAUCAAAGAACAGAGCUCAGCAGACGGACGUCACCCCACGUGCUCUCCCUGUGCCCACCUGAAACGGCUGAAGGCAGGGUCUUCCCUCUGAAAUAAGAAUAAAGUCCCCCCUGCUGAGGGAAGGGAGCCCAGGGGCUGUGACCCCCCCACACACAGCCCACCAAGGAGCAGCAAAGAAACAGGGAGCAUCGCAACCCCCCAGAGGCCUCUCCAUCUUCCCAGACCACGUCAGUUUUCAUCUCCGCCAUGCGACUGACCACCUAUGCACACUAGCUGCCUGUCCUUAAUUCCUGCUUCCCAGUGAUGGGCCUCGUCACCAGAGAGCAUUCUGUGCAGUCACGGGCUGCGUGCCAUGUUCCAGUCCACCUCGGGCCACGCCUCACCUGGUGACAUCACACCGACUGAAAGCCUAUUUGUGCCCAACGCCAGGAAAGUGGAAAUUUCCCCAGGCCUGUUUCUGGUGCUUAGAGAGACCCCGGUGGCCUUUCCUAUUGUUCUUCACCAAAGGAAUUGGGCACCUCUGUUCGGAGCUCGCCUGGUGAGACCGCGACCUAACCCUUGGACCUGGUUCCCCCCGGGAGCCUUGGCUGGGCCGAGAGGGGGCCCGGGCUGCGCUGGGGGCCCUCUGUAUGCAUGUUUGCAUUUUCUUCCCUGAGACGUGGCAGUCGCGGUCCUGCGGUCCCUGCAGCGGGACAGGCACAUGGAGAGCCACCCAGGAAGGUCUGUCACUCUGGGGAGUGCCAGGCUCUCUCCAGCAGCAGACCCCCGCCCAGCCUUCCUCUGCUAGGAAAUACUUCUGCCUCCAGGAAGUAGAGAAGAGGCCAGUGCGGGCCUCGGGCGGCCAGCCAGCUCUGUGAAGCCUGCCCACCGCAUCAGCUCCAGAUGUUUUUCGUUCAAAAUAAAACAUGGAGUGGUCAAUGCCCCUGUGACCUGCCCUCCGCAGUCCCGUCUCUGUCGGCCCCAGGGAUGCACUCGGGGCGUCCAUCGAUGCAGGGCGUCGUGGUCUGCCACACGCGUGGGCCUGUGAACGCCACCCCGUAAGCCACCCAGUUGGCGUGUUUUAAACCAUGCAGGGGUCACACGGCGCUUCCCACAGAUGGCUCUUGUCUGAACUUGACUCCCGUAGGGCCUCCUGCUGGACGGUGUGUGACCAUCAGAUCAAGACAGAAGAGCCGUGUAGAACAGGGCAGG
Molecule: long non-coding RNA, 2161 nt
Organism: Marmota monax (woodchuck)
Lineage: Eukaryota; Metazoa; Chordata; Mammalia; Rodentia; Sciuridae
Exons: 4
Source: RefSeq, a predicted model, not a curated record